GCCACCACUUCAUGGUGGGGACUCAUAGGAGACUGCCGGGGUCAACUCGGAGGAAGGUGGGGAUGACGUCAAGUCAUCAUGCCCCUUAUGUCCAGGGCUUCACGCAUGCUACAAUCGCCGGUACAAAGGGCUGCUAUGCUGUAAGGCGGAGCGAAUCCCAAAAAGCCGGUCUCACUUCGGAUUGGGGUCUGCAACUCGACCCCAUGAAGUCGGAGUCACUAGUAAUCGCAGAUCAGCAACGCUGCGGUGAAUACGUUCCCGGGCCUUGUACACACCGCCCGUCACGUCACGAAAGUCGCGAACACCCGAAGCCGGUGGCCUAACCCCUUGUGGAGGGAGCCUUCAAAGGUGGGGCUGGCGAUUGG
Molecule: ribosomal RNA, 365 nt
Filed under: Nocardioides sp. 1713
Lineage: Bacteria; Bacillati; Actinomycetota; Actinomycetes; Propionibacteriales; Nocardioidaceae
Description: bacterial SSU rRNA
Rfam family: Bacterial small subunit ribosomal RNA
Source: RNAcentral